GGGUCCCGACUAGUGGUUAGGCCACAGCGCUGAGAGUGCUGUGACCCAGGUUCGAUUCCCGGCCAGGGAACCA
Pangasianodon gigas (Mekong giant catfish) is the source of this 73-nucleotide non-coding RNA. NCBI's taxonomy places the organism in Eukaryota, Metazoa, Chordata, Actinopteri, Siluriformes, Pangasiidae. The record is from the annotation of a GenBank genome assembly.